GGCGGCUACCAUGCAAGUCGAGGGGUAACAGGAAGUGCUUGCACUUUGCUGACGACCGGCGCACGGGUGCGUAACGCGUAUGCAAUCUACCUCUUACUGAGGGAUAGCCCAUGGAAACGUGGAUUAAUACCUCAUGGUAUUUUAAAUUGGCAUCAAUUUAAGAUUAAAGGUUACGGUAAGAGAUGAGCAUGCGUCCUAUUAGCUAGAUGGUAAGGUAACGGCUUACCAUGGCAACGAUAGGUAGGGGUCCUGAGAGGGAGAUCCCCCACACUGGUACUGAGACACGGACCAGACUCCUACGGGAGGCAGCAGUGAGGAAUAUUGGACAAUGGGCGAGAGCCUGAUCCAGCCAUGCCGCGUGCAGGAAGACUGCCCUAUGGGUUGUAAACUGCUUUUGUAUAGGAAGAAACCUUUCCUCGUGAGGAAAAUUGACGGUACUAUACGAAUAAGGAUCGGCUAACUCCGUGCCAGCAGCCGCGGUAAUACGGAGGAUCCAAGCGUUAUCCGGAAUCAUUGGGUUUAAAGGGUCCGUAGGCGGGUUUAUAAGUCAGUGGUGAAAGUCUGCAGCUUAACUGUAGAACUGCCAUUGAUACUGUAGAUCUUGAAUCAUUAUGAAGUGGUUAGAAUGUGUAGUGUAGCGGUGAAAUGCAUAGAUAUUACACAGAAUACCGAUUGCGAAGGCAGAUCACUAAUAAUGUAUUGACGCUGAUGGACGAAAGCGUAGGUAGCGAACAGGAUUAGAUACCCUGGUAGUCUACGCCGUAAACGAUGGUUACUAGCUGUCCGGGCCUAAUUGAGGGCUGGGUGGUUAAGCGAAAGUGAUAAGUAACCCACCUGGGGAGUACGUUCGCAAGAAUGAAACUCAAGGAAUUGACGGGGGCCCGCACAGCGGUGGAGCAUGUGUUAUUCGAUGAUACGCGAGACCUUACCAGGCUUAAAUGCAGUCUGACGUACUUGAAACAGUAUUUCUUCGACAGAUUGCAGUGCUGCAUGUUGUCGUCAGCUCGUGCUGGAGGUGUCAGUUAAGUCCUAUAACGAGCGCACCCCUGUUGUAGU
This 1056-nucleotide ribosomal RNA is filed under the name uncultured bacterium. Its description in RNAcentral is "bacterial SSU rRNA". It matches the Rfam family "Bacterial small subunit ribosomal RNA", at positions 45 to 1113 of the family's 1533-position model. The record is from RNAcentral.